UAUGACGUCGCCAUGACGACACUUCACUACUGAUAUCGCCAUUGUUAUCAUCAAACUGCUAUCAUCUUGCUACUGUUUUGCUGCCCUUUUCCUCGUAUUUCGCUCAUUUUCGUCUGUGUACACUAUGAGCUCCUACGCCCAAGCUGUUGACCUCGUGAUCAGGUUCCCCUUGAACUUUGACAUCUGGGCCCCUCCUCGCCAACUAUAUCAAAGCAGUCUGUAAAGUAAUCGAGUCUGGACCAGGGAAACCAGUGGUUGACUGCAUUAGCAACGACCCACACGGUCGAAGCACGGUCCAGUGGGGAGAUUAUUCUCCCCCGCAAUCUCCAAGUGGGGAAGAUCCGAAGCCAACCCCUCCACUCGCUAGUGGUGUAUCACUGAGAAGCCUUCGUCCCCAUCUGAUGUGUAUCGCGCCUGUUAUAAACACGUAUCAGUGAAACGUUUAAUAAAAUUCUGCUGUGAA
This 463-nucleotide unclassified non-coding RNA is filed under the name Haliotis rufescens (red abalone). RNAcentral's name for it is "uncharacterized LOC125380034, transcript variant X1". Lineage: Eukaryota; Metazoa; Mollusca; Gastropoda; Lepetellida; Haliotidae. The record is from RNAcentral.